UUUCGUAGGGGAAGGUUUGAGAAGCCUUCCCCAUAGCCGGACUUCCGCUUCCGGUCCUCGGAAUCUGUACGCGGUCGUUAUGGAGGAACCGGAGAUGCAACUCAAGGGAAAGAAAGGAGAUCACUCCAUCUGUUGUUUGGAGAUUGGACUGUUGGCAGAGCGGAAGCAGGGAGACCAGGAAGGAGCUGAAUCUGGCGUCCUGGUGAGAGGUGGCCAUGCCUGGACCAGUGUGGGCAGUGUAGUGGUAAGAAUAGUCACAGACAAGUUCACUGAGAGUGUCUAUGUCCUGGCCAAUGAGCCAUCCGUGGCCCUGUACCGGCUGCAGGAGCACGUGCGCCGCUCUCUGCCUGAGCUGGCCCAGCAUAAGGCUGACAUGCAGCGAUGGGAGGAGCAGAGCCAGGGAGCCAUUUACACAGUGGAGUAUGCCUGCAGUGCUGUGAAGAACCUUGUUGACAGCAGCGUCUACUUCCGCAGCGUGGAGGGUCUUCUGAAACAGGCCAUCAGCAUCCGGGACCACAUGAAUGCUGCCGCCCAGAGCCACAGGUAGCUCCGGGACCACCCGCUCCUGCUCUCAGCCUCCUCGCUGUAAGGACCUUUGCUUCUCAGCCAGGAACUGCUGUUUCUCACUCCUUAGACAGCUCCCUUUCCUCAUCUCAUGGUGCCUGGUGGCUUCCUCUCGUCCUUUGGCGUCUGUAACGGGAGAGUUCAGCCGCCCAGCACCCAGGUCCUGAGCUCUGCUGUGUGCCCGGCCCUGGGCUGGGCACCGGGGAUGCAGCGGUGGCCAAUACGCAUGUACUCGUGGUCUCACAGGGAGGUGUAUGGCAACCAGCCCUGACGAACCACCCCUGCCCUCCUCAGCUUGAUCCCGGAAGAGACUUGGAGGUGCUUUGGCCCCUCUGGCUCAGGCCGCAGGCCCUGUCUCGAUCCCGUGUUCCCCCUGCCAAGACAGAAAGGGGAGCCCGCGUUUGGUUGUUUUCCUCACACGCGUUCUCUCAGGCGGAGCCCAGCAUGAUGGCUACCCACCCAGCUCAGGAAUCUUCGCUGCACUGCUGGCCAGCUGUGUGACCCUGAGAAAGUCCCUCCCCUCUCUGGUCUCUGCUUUUCCCUUCCGUCAGAGUGGUUCAGCAGGCAACAGAGGGUGCUGCUGCAUAGUGAUGUGUGUUGUAGCAAUCAGCUACUGCUGCAUGACAAACUGUCCCCAAACUUAGUGGUUGACAACCCUAGUCAUUUGGCUGCUUACAGUCCUGCGAUUUGGGCUGGGCUCAGUUGGGCAGUUUUUCUGGACUUCACAACUAUCUGGCACUCAUCAGAAUUCAAAGGGGCUCAUAGUCAGAGGUGGCCUCGCUCACACAUCUGGAUCUGGACCCGUGCCGUCAGCAGCAGGGGGUCCGUUCCCCUCCGCGUGGCCUCCCCAGCAGGCCGGCCUAGGCUUCUCCUGGUGACCGGGUGCCCAGAGGGCAGCCCCCGUGUGCCUGUGCCCAUCCGACCUCUUCUUGCUUCACACUGCGGAUGCUCCAUUGGUCAAGGCCAGCCACGUGGCCAGGCCAAGAACCUGAUGGGAGAGGACUGCACGAAGGCCUCAAUACCGGGAGGUGUGAUCGACUGUGUGAGGAGAGCAUGGUACCAAGAAAGGCCUGGCACGUUGUUACUCGGCGCCCAUGUAGGGCAGACCCCGGCAGAUCGGCGGCAUCUGAGGGACUUCCUGAGCUCUGGCUGUUGUAGUUCUCAAAGCCCCGCCCAUUUGCCAGGCACUGCGAUGGCGCUCUGUGCCACAGAGGCCCUCUCAGAGGGCUUGGGAGGCAUGAGUGGGAUGGGGCCUCCACAGCCCCAGAGCCACAGUCUCCAGAGACAAGAGGCAGCAGAAUUCAUGUGUGUGCAGUUGAAGUACUUUUUGAGCACCUGCUGUGUGCCAGGCUUAGCUCUCCGGCUGGGGGUAGUGAGGAAUCCCGCUGGCUGUGGGAUUGCCUAGGGAGCAUCUGGGAGGACUUGGGGCAGGAGGGGCUACCAAGAGGGUCAGCAGCUCACCCCAGUGGCCCACGCAGUGUUGCCCACCAGCCCUGGGCCUACACCCCACCAUCUCUCCACUCCCUUCUCCUUGCCCUCGUCACUCCCACCAUCCAGCCUCAAGGACACCGCCCUGCUGCCCUCCCCACACCCUGUUGUCAUCUGCUGUCCCUCUGCUGCUGCGCCCCCUUGGAAUAAAAUUCUCUGUGGCUUCUCCUGA
This is an RNA transcript of Neofelis nebulosa (Clouded leopard), 2224 nucleotides long. It is a transcript of the gene named BLOC-1 related complex subunit 8, with no coding region annotated. The record is from RefSeq and is a predicted model, not a curated record. The transcript has 7 exons. NCBI's taxonomy places the organism in Eukaryota, Metazoa, Chordata, Mammalia, Carnivora, Felidae.